GUAUAUUUAAACUUUUAUAGGUACAAAGACCCAAUUCAACAUUCUAUAACAAAGGUUUGUGAAAUAACAUAGACCUGGAAAUGCAAGGCAAAGCUGUCUUUUGAGAAAGCUCAGCAAUCCUCAAUCUAUUCGAUUUUCACUCGAACAAUUUCAAAAAUACCAAGGUCUACAAUACGUGCACAGUUGGAGAAAUAAAGAUGACAAGCGUGCACAUGUCUCAAAGAGAGAGACCAGCAAACAGCCUGCAAGUUUAUUCAAUAAUGAUCCUUCCGCAGGUUCACCUACGGAAA
RNAcentral lists this unclassified non-coding RNA (290 nucleotides) under uncultured fungus. Its description in RNAcentral is "sequence contains ITS1". The record is from RNAcentral. Lineage: Eukaryota; Fungi.